Molecule: long non-coding RNA, 489 nt
Filed under: Mytilus galloprovincialis (Mediterranean mussel)
Lineage: Eukaryota; Metazoa; Mollusca; Bivalvia; Mytilida; Mytilidae
Source: RNAcentral
AACUUUGUUGGGUUCAUCUAAACUCUUUGCCUCCAUUUGUCAAUUCUUUAAUAUCCUAAAUGUUAGGUCUAAAAAAACUAAAUUCAUUUCCUUCUCUUUUAGUUCCCAAAUGAUAUGUUAAAUUUGUCCCCUCGAACAUUCAUCUUUUUGUGAGAAUUUAGCCCUUUCAAACCACACCAAUGCCGAUUCCCUGACCAUGUGAUUGUAAAUAAGUAUAAUUUUAUUAUAUUUAAUAGUAGACUAUCUGCACAUUACAAUUUUUUUUCACAAACGCACCAUAGAUACCAGGAUUUAAAUUUUGACAUCUACAAAAGACUAUCUAUCAUUGAUGAACUUAUCAAGUAAUUGAACAAGGACAAAUUAAUUACAAAGUGGAAGAGCAUUGGGGACCCAAAGUUGUGAAAGCUUAUGACAAAUAUAGCUAAACGAACCUGCUAAAGAUGACUAGUGUUCAAUAUUGCCUCAGUGAGUUUUAUACAUGUUUAAACC